CAUCUUACCAGGCAGAUAUAGAGUGAAAUAUUCAAACAUCUAAUACUGUCAGGUAAAGAUGUC
Molecule: microRNA precursor, 63 nt
Filed under: Limulus polyphemus (Atlantic horseshoe crab)
Lineage: Eukaryota; Metazoa; Arthropoda; Merostomata; Xiphosura; Limulidae
Description: Lpo-Mir-8-P9_pre stem-loop
Source: RNAcentral